GCCCCCGUGGCUCAGAUGGAUAGAGCGUCUGGUUGCGGACUAGAAGGUCGCAGGUUCGAGUCCUGCCGGGGGUACCA
This 77-nucleotide transfer RNA is filed under the name Anaerolineae bacterium. Its description in RNAcentral is "tRNA-Arg". It matches the Rfam family "tRNA". Rfam says of the family: Transfer RNA (tRNA) molecules are approximately 80 nucleotides in length. Lineage: Bacteria; Bacillati; Chloroflexota; Anaerolineae. The record is from RNAcentral.